Molecule: ribosomal RNA, 300 nt
Filed under: Triticum aestivum (bread wheat)
Lineage: Eukaryota; Viridiplantae; Streptophyta; Magnoliopsida; Poales; Poaceae
Description: partial small subunit ribosomal RNA
Source: RNAcentral
AUGCCUGUCGCGGGGGACUAUACUCAGCAGGCUCACACCACGAAUCAGGAAUUUUGGUUCUGGAAAAGGAUGCAGGGACGGGUGUGGUGCACAGUAUUGAGGGGGUGCAUGGCAUUUUUCCCCCAUGGGACCUUCAAAAAUGUAGUUGGCUGGUGCGCUUGUGCAUUAAAUGAGUCAAAUGAAAUUGAUUUUUUUUCAAAAAAUUGGACCUGGCGCUGUCAGCACAAAAAGAUAGCCACAUUAGCUGGCCUUGAUAUUUUGGUCUCGGUAGUCUUGCUGCCGUCAGUGGCUCGUAUUUAG